This is a long non-coding RNA of Solenopsis invicta (red fire ant), 908 nucleotides long. RefSeq lists it as uncharacterized. The transcript is spliced from 2 exons. The record is from RefSeq and is a predicted model, not a curated record. NCBI's taxonomy places the organism in Eukaryota, Metazoa, Arthropoda, Insecta, Hymenoptera, Formicidae.
GAUUUGUAUUAUUUGCUGGAAAGCAUUUCACGUAUUAUAUCAUUAAUUGUGUAAGAUGUAUGUGAUAUAUCUUUAUUAAGGGGGGAUUCUAGUGUAACGGGUAAAAAAAAUUGAAUUUUUUUUUGCAUAAAUUAAAAGUAUAACAUCUUAAAAAUACGCUCCUACAGUUUUAAAGUGGAAUUCUCAAAAAUAAAGAAGUUAUAGCUCUGUUUAGUGAGACGCGUCAGAGUUCCAAACAGCAGGCAGUCGACCGGUAGGUACAAGAGCCUAACGGAUCGAUAUUUAGGGUCGGCUAUUGUUAUGUUUAAAGAUCUGUCCAAAGAUGAAUUAUUACAAAGAUGUUUAGGUGGAUACACUCAAAAUUGUAACGAAAGUUUUAACGCAUGCAUUUGGCGUCUAGCUCCGAAACAUCUCCACUGUGGUUCGAAGACUAUAGAAAGUGCUGCUUAUCUGGCUACCGCAAUAUUUAAUGAAGGUUUUUUUCCAAUAUUAAAAAUGAUGGAAACAAUGGGCAUUAUUAUUGGACAACAGAACAAAACAUUUGCCGAAUAUCAUAAUGACAAGCGACUAUUGAAUGCACACCGGCGUAGCUUAGAAAGCACUAAAGAGGCUCGUACAGCCAGAAGAAUAGAGAAAACGGUAUUACAAGACUUUUUUGAAGAAGAAGAAGGUUUAAUGUAUGGGGCCGGAAUAGCAGAAUAAACGUUCAAGUCGAUUUUUCAGCGAUAACCGGGAGGAACAUUACAACGCCCGCCAAUGGACGGGAAAUUUCAGAGAGGGGUCCAGAUUAUUUAUUAUAUAUUGAAAUUAAAUAAUGCAAACUGAAAAUAAUUAAAAUUUUUUGAUACCGUAAGAAGGUCUCUUUUUAUCCCAAAAAGUUUUAUUUGGCUAUCAUUAAUAGUUUUCUA